Molecule: long non-coding RNA, 1485 nt
Filed under: Marmota monax (woodchuck)
Lineage: Eukaryota; Metazoa; Chordata; Mammalia; Rodentia; Sciuridae
Source: RNAcentral
GGCAUUCUGAGGGCACUAAUAACAGGGCACUAAUAAUAAACAUUCUUUAGCCUAAGAAUGUUGUAAAAUUUGUUUUGUUAGAAGGUGUGACAUAAUGGUUUUAAAAUAGAAUAGUAAGAGAGCAACCAUGUGCUGAUAUUUAAACUACUCCGGAAGAGUGGGCUUUUCACCAUAGUUGAAUGUUGCAGUGAUGUGGAAGCAGGAGGAAAUCUGUCCACAUUGUUAGCACUGAUCAUGUCUUGUCCAGAUCCCUCAGAAGUAACUUAGAUAUGGACACCAAGGAUUGUGUAUUAAGAUACAGAAUCCAGGACCUCAGCCAUGCCUUUAUCAUUCUUAAGAAUGUUCCUUAGGGGGGCUGGGGUUGUAGCUCAGUGGUAGAGCAUUUGCCUAGUGCAUGUGAGGCCCUUGGUUCGAUCCUCAGCACCACAUAAAAAUAAAUAAGUAAAAGUUAUUGUGUCCAACUACCACUAAAAAAUAAGUUUUUUAAAAAAAAGUUCCCUAGGCUACACAACUCAGGAUUCAGGGAUGCCAUAGAGUUUGAGAUGGGGUAGUAAUUAUUGCAAGUUAGCCCAUGAAAGUGGGGUUGACAUUAUGCAAGCACUAGAUCCAGUGAAGCUGGAGCCUAGAUGUGAUUAACUGGAGGUGUUUUCAUUUGCAAAUUGUAAGGUUCUUUCCAAAUUCCCUUAAUUCAUAAUUUUGUUACAGAAGUGGAAGGAGUGUUAUUUCAGAUGCCAGUUUAUAAAAUUAGUUCAAUUAGUCUUGUAUUCACAAGGGAAAGUACAUUUGGUAAUGAAAUAAAGUGAUGGCUAAGUUAAUCUAUCUACAGAGGUUACAAAUUUGGGACAUUGAGUAAGGGAGCAAGAGCUAAUAGACAUGCCUUUUUUCUUAUUCCAUGUUCCUGGUUCUAAAAGACAGUACAUUCAUUCAUUAUCAGUAGAGUGACAGAAAAAACAAAUUUUCAGAGACUGUAAUGAAGUUGGUACUCAAAUGCUUGGUCAGGACUGUAAUUUGCACAGAACUGGUAAAUACCAUCCACCCUUGUCACUUGCACAUCAGCACAGUGAUGGUUAGGCACUCAUCCAUCCCAGGUCCUCUUCUGAGAAAUCAUCUGGGAAGUGACUGUGUUCAGGAAUGGCUAUUGGGAUAGUGUAGCCCACAGCUGUAAAACUGGCUGCCCUCGAUUCCUGGGCUGUAUGGCAAUCUCUGGCGCUUUUGAGUUGGAGGCUGACGGAUGGGCUAAAGGCAAAGGCACAUGAUCAAGCCUGCCCGGUAUAGGCAUGGAGCCGAGUGUGGCUGUGGAAAGCUUCCUAUCCUUUUUCCUCCAGUUAUCCAUGAGUUCAAGGGACCGGAAGGUGGCAGUGAUGGCCUGCGUUUGGUGGAUAGUCGCCUCUGGAAAAGGAUAUGAGAUCCAAAACACGGAACCAAAAAACAUCAGUGUUCAAGUCAAGGAUUACAGUAGCUGUUGUUGCCAUUGUUUGGAAUUAG